AGGGGAAGUGAGGAUUGGGUUAUUCUCGCAUAUAUGCGUGAAGAGCGUUCCGCUCAAACCUUUUACGACAAUUGGGCGCUCCAAUUUUCAUAUCUGAUCCCUCAUGUUUCAAUUUUUUAAACUUAUUUUUAUAUUUCAAAAAAAAUAUUGAAAAAAUAAACUUUUCUAAGUUUUGUUGAAAAUUUAAAGUUUACAAACCUGCUGAUUUUUGUAAUAAUAAUGAUAAUAAUAAUAAGAAUGAUUUAUUAUAUAAGCAUUAUACAGUUUUACACUUUUUUGCUCAGUAGCCUGAGUUUAAAAAACGUAAUACCCAAAUUAAAUGAAUUUGAAGUAUCUCAAACAAAGGCCGUGACUAAAUACACAAGGAGUUCACAAAGUGAUUUUAAGCAAGACAGUUGCAGAGAAAACUGCAAGAUACAUUCUGAGUCAUUCCGCUGUCAAUAAAACUGAAAAAAGAUUCAAAGAUAAUAUAGAGGGUAUAAUAUUAACAAUGGUUUGAGCCGCAGCAUAUAUCCCGUAGACAACAUCAAAGGAUGAAUCCAACAUCAAAGGGUAUAAUAUUACCAAAGGAUGGAACUCACAGUUACAAAGCUUUUGUGGACAGUGUGAUGUUCAUUUGGAACCAGGGACCAUCGUUUCUUCCAAUGCAAGGUAUCGGAAGAAGUGUGGAAAGAUUUGACGUUAGGACUGCUCUCCACACACUAUACCAGUGAGUGGAGUGGGGUUUUGCAGCUUAUAUCACACAAAGGAGUGGACAAGCUUGAUACAUUCCUAAUUUGGUAUGUAUUCCAGACCACAUUGUAUGCACUAUAGAGGGAACGUAAUCAGAGAAGAGACAUGGAGAGGUGGCUACACCAUCUUCUCCCCUGAUCUGAAUGGUGGGCAAACGAAUUCAAAAUCGGUUUGCUAUAUUAAAGGGAUUAUUUGGCCAUGCCUAUGAGAGGGGCCGGGUUAGAUGGCUGGAAACAAAAUGAAGAUUGAGUUGAAGACAUAGUUUUAAUGGUUUUUUAUUCAAAACAAACUUAGAUACAAAGUAACAGCAAAUGUUAAAACGAUUUUUUGCUAGAAUAAAUUUAAAAUUCUUUAAAAAAAAUAAUCGUAACACUUGCAAGCAUUUUGUUGUCUUCAAGUUAUGUGAAAACAAAUAUUGUAACGGAUAUGAAUUAUAUUUUAAUGAUCUUGGUAAUAAUUAUGAAGGACUUAACAAGAGAGAGGAGAGAGAGAAGCUUUUCUCUCUUUUGCUCUUCUCAUUCCGCCGUAAAACCCUAGCGCCACGGUUCUCAAUCUCGCGUUCUGAUCACAUGGGCUGUAAUGGUAAUAAUUUUAUUGACAACUGGGGCCACUGACACGUUCUGAUCACAUGGGCUGUAAUGGGCUUGGAAACCUUUGAACAACCUUCUGUAGGUGAGCGAGCGAGCGAGUAAAAGUCUUAAUUCUCGUCCCACAUCGAUUGUGUAGACAGACAUGUGAAUGAGUGGGUCUAUAAAAGAAAAAGAAGUGCCAACUUUGAAAACAUGAUCCUUCAGGUUUAAAGGGGAAGUGAGGAUUGGGUUAUUCUCGCAUAAAUGCGUGAAGAGCGUUCCGCUCAAACCUUUUUACGACAAUUGGGCGCUCCAAUUUUCAAUAUAUCUGAUCCCUCUUAUUUCAUUUUUUUUCCAAAUCAUUUUUUCUUAUUAAUUUUAAAGUUCUUUUUCUAAUAAAAGUUAUUUUAAAGAAAUUAAAAUUGAUUAUAAGUUUGUUAACUUUUAAGGCUAAAGCUUUGGUUGUUUUUUAAUUAUAUAAGGUAAUAAAUACAUGAUGUUAAUUGUAAGGAUUUGUUUUCUUGUAACGAAGUUAAUUAUAAGGACUUGAAAGAUACAAUUUA
This 1864-nucleotide long non-coding RNA is filed under the name Brassica napus (rape). Its description in RNAcentral is "long non-coding RNA (BNAP_LNC001009)". The stretch from base 1535 to 1637 matches the Rfam family "Small nucleolar RNA Z279/snoR105/snoR108". The record is from RNAcentral. Lineage: Eukaryota; Viridiplantae; Streptophyta; Magnoliopsida; Brassicales; Brassicaceae.